This 409-nucleotide ribosomal RNA is filed under the name Proteus penneri. Its description in RNAcentral is "bacterial SSU rRNA". It matches the Rfam family "Bacterial small subunit ribosomal RNA", at positions 344 to 745 of the family's 1533-position model. The record is from RNAcentral. Lineage: Bacteria; Pseudomonadati; Pseudomonadota; Gammaproteobacteria; Enterobacterales; Morganellaceae.
GGAGCCAGCAGUAAGGAAUAUUGCCCAAUGGGCGCAAGCCUGAUGCAGCCAUGCCGCGUGUAUGAAGAAGGCCUUAGGGUUGUAAAGUACUUUCAGCGGGGAGGAAGGUGAUAAAGUUAAUACCUUUAUCAAUUGACGUUACCCGCAGAAGAAGCACCGGCUAACUCCGUGCCAGCAGCCGCGGUAAUACGGAGGGUGCAAGCGUUAAUCGGAAUUACUGGGCGUAAAGCGCACGCAGGCGGUCAAUUAAGUCAGAUGUGAAAGCCCCGAGCUUAACUUGGGAAUUGCAUCUGAAACUGGUUGGCUAGUGUCUUGUAGAGGGGGGUAGAAUUCCACGUGUAGCGGUGAAAUGCGUAGAGAUGUGGAGGAAUACCGGUGGCGAAGGCGGCCCCCUGGACAAAGACUGACG